RNAcentral lists this ribosomal RNA (391 nucleotides) under uncultured bacterium. RNAcentral describes it as "bacterial SSU rRNA". It matches the Rfam family "Bacterial small subunit ribosomal RNA", at positions 29 to 417 of the family's 1533-position model. The record is from RNAcentral.
AUUGAACGCUGGCGGCAUGCCUUACACAUGCAAGUCGAGCGGCAGCGCGGGGGCAACCCUGCGGCGAGCGGCGAACGGGUGAGUAAUACAUCGGAACGUGUCCAGUAGUGGGGGAGUAACCAGUCGAAAGAUUGGCUAAUACCGCAUACGAUCUACGGAUGAAAGCGGGGGACCGGUAAGGCCUCGCGCUGUUGGAGCGGCCGAUGUCCGAUUAGCUAGUUGGCGGGGUAACGGCCCACCAAGGCGACGAUCGGUAGCUGGUCUGAGAGGAUGAUCAGCCACACUGGAACUGAGACACGGUCCAGACUCCUACGGGAGGCAGCAGUGGGGAAGUUUUGGUACAAUGGGCGCGAAGCCUGAUCCAGCCAUGCCGCGUGAGUGAAGAAGGCCU